Molecule: non-coding RNA, 1422 nt
Organism: Arachis ipaensis
Lineage: Eukaryota; Viridiplantae; Streptophyta; Magnoliopsida; Fabales; Fabaceae
Source: RefSeq, a predicted model, not a curated record
UUCCCCUACUCUAGGAGUUUGUUUUAAACAUGUCAUAAAUGUAGAAUCAUGUAAUAUUUGCUAAGGUGAAACUUUGAGCACUUUUGACAUGACUACUUUGAGCAUUGACUUCUCAACUAUUAUGUAGAACUCUAUUCUGUUUGAAACAAACAAUUUAUUAUUUUCCUCCUUGUUCUGAUUGCUAGGAUUGUCGUAUUAGGUGAUCAGUAAGAUGCUGGAACCAGUUCAAUUUUGUGUUGGCACUUUGUCUCUAGUAGUACCAGGGCCAGCUGCACUGAUUUUAGACAUCUCAGUUAGUAGUUGAGCUAAUUUUUGUAUAUGAAGUGUCUAACAUCUUACUUAAAUCAAUGGAAUAUGUUUUUGUUAUAUUUUCUCUAAUGCAGCUGGAUAUAGAAGUUAGGGUGAAGUACGGGUCAAUAUUGCUCGGCCUAACAUACUUCAGAUGCAGCCCUUACCAUAUAACAUUAGAAAAGGAGAACUUAUGUUAUUUGAAAUCAUGAAUUCCUUUUUGUUCUCUGUCUUUUCCUUUAAAGAUGUAUUGUUUCAUCUUUAUUACAUUAUUCUAGCAAGAAAGCACGUUCUUUUUUAUGGGUUGAGUUUUCACAAUGGAGUUUUGAUUCUUUUGUGUUCCUAGUAAAAAAAGAUCUUAAAGUACUUGUUUCUUUCUAACUCCUUUAUUGUUUUGUGGCCAUUGUUAUUGAACAGAUUGCAAUCUGAACUGAUGACUCUAAUGAUGAGCGGAGAUUCAGGUAUAUCUGCAUUUCCUGAGGAGGACAACAUAUUAUGCUGGAAAGGGACAAUAACAGGAAGUAAAGACAUGUGUUUGAAGGAACUGAGUACAAGUUGCCACUUUUGUUUCCCAAUGAUUACCCUUUUAAGGCUCCAAAGGUCAAAUUUGAAAGCACCUACUUCCAUCCAAAUGUAGAUGUUCAUGGUAAUAUAUGCUUGGACAUUCUUCAAGUAGUAAUUAUGUGAAGAUUCCUGUCCUUUCUUAUUUGAUCAACACAAGAUACAAAGCUUGGAUAUGACAGAACAAUUCUGUGUCCUCAGCCAACAUCUGUGUCUUAACUAGUUUAGAUUGUGUGCAGAAGACGAGUGUACAAACACAAUAUUGAAUAUAUUUCUUGUUGGAACAACAUUAACAUUUACUUUCUUGUGAUGGGCAUUUUUUGAAGCGAGAAGAUUGUUCUUAUAUUCUUGACUGGAUAGGGGAGACCCAAAGGUGAAGUAAAUGGAGCUUCUCUUUCGGGAUUCAUCAUCAAUUAGCCACAAAUUGGAUAGUUUUAGUGAUCUCCUAAGUUCUAAUGAUAAAUUUAUUUUGUCCUAAUUCAAUUAUUAGUUGUUAUAGAAUUGUAAUUUUUUAAUUAUAAUUAUAGCAUGUAAAAAACUCAUGUAAAUCAAUAAAAAAUCAAUUCUUUUAUA